GACGAACGCUGGCGGCGUGCUUAACACAUGCAAGUCGAACGGUAAGGCCCCUUCGGGGGUACACGAGUGGCGAACGGGUGAGUAACACGUGAGCAACCUGCCCUUGACUCUGGAAUAACAGUUGGAAACAGCUGCUAAUACUGGAUAUUCAUCGUCUCCUUCCUGGGGGGUGGUGGAAAGCUCCGGCGGUCAGGGAUGGGCUCGCGGCCUAUCAGCUUGUUGGUGAGGUAAUGGCUCACCAAGGCUUCGACGGGUAGCCGGCCUGAGAGGGCGACCGGCCACACUGGGACUGAGAGACGGCCCAGACUCCUACGGGAGGCAGCAGUGGGGAAUAUUGCACAAUGGGCGCAAGCCUGAUGCAGCAACGCCGCGUGCGGGAUGACGGCCUUCGGGUUGUAAACCGCUUUCAGUAGGGACGAAGGGUGACUGACGGUACCUACAGAAGAAGGGCCGGCUAACUACGUGC
This 466-nucleotide ribosomal RNA is filed under the name uncultured bacterium. Its description in RNAcentral is "partial 16S ribosomal RNA". It matches the Rfam family "Bacterial small subunit ribosomal RNA", at positions 28 to 508 of the family's 1533-position model. The record is from RNAcentral.